AAAAGUGAAAGACGGUCUUGCUGUCACUUAUAGAUGGAUCCGCGCUGCAUUAGCUAGUUGGUAAGGUAACGGCUUACCAAGGCAACGAUGCAUAGCCGACCUGAGAGGGUGAUCGGCCACACUGGAACUGAGACACGGUCCAGACUCCUACGGGAGGCAGCAGUAGGGAAUCUUCCGCAAUGGGCGAAAGCCUGACGGAGCAACGCCGCGUGAGUGAUGAAGGUCUUCGGAUCGUAAAACUCUGUUAUUAGGGAAGAACAUAUGUGUAAGUAACUGUGCACAUCUUGACGGUACCUAAUCAGAAAGCCACGGCUAACUACGUGCCAGC
Molecule: ribosomal RNA, 328 nt
Filed under: Staphylococcus aureus
Lineage: Bacteria; Bacillati; Bacillota; Bacilli; Caryophanales; Staphylococcaceae
Description: bacterial SSU rRNA
Rfam family: Bacterial small subunit ribosomal RNA
Source: RNAcentral